RNAcentral lists this transfer RNA (69 nucleotides) under Dipodomys ordii (Ord's kangaroo rat). It matches the Rfam family "tRNA". From Rfam's summary of the family: Transfer RNA (tRNA) molecules are approximately 80 nucleotides in length. Their secondary structure includes four short double-helical elements and three loops (D, anti-codon, and T loops). Lineage: Eukaryota; Metazoa; Chordata; Mammalia; Rodentia; Heteromyidae. The record is from Rfam by way of RNAcentral.
GGUGGCUCAGUAGUAAGUAGAGCGCUUGCCUUGCAUGCAUGAGGCCCUGGGUUCCAUUCCCCAGCACCA